Molecule: ribosomal RNA, 467 nt
Filed under: uncultured bacterium
Lineage: Bacteria
Description: bacterial SSU rRNA
Rfam family: Bacterial small subunit ribosomal RNA
Source: RNAcentral
GACGAACGCUGGCGGCGCGCCUAACACAUGCAAGUCGAACGGAGCUUAGAGAGCUUGCUUUUUAAGCUUAGUGGCGAACGGGUGAGUAACGCGUGAGUAACCUGCCCUAGAGUGGGGGACAACAGUUGGAAACGACUGCUAAUACCGCAUAAGCCCACGGUACCGCAUGGUACUGAGGGAAAAGGAUUUAUUCGCUUUAGGAUGGACUCGCGUCCAAUUAGCUAGUUGGUGAGGUAACGGCCCACCAAGGCGACGAUUGGUAGCCGGACUGAGAGGUUGAACGGCCACAUUGGGACUGAGACACGGCCCAGACUCCUACGGGAGGCAGCAGUGGGGGAUAUUGCACAAUGGGGGGAAACCCUGAUGCAGCGACGCCGCGUGGAGGAAGAAGGUUUUCGGAUUGUAAACUCCUGUUGUUGAGGAAGAUAAUGACGGUACUCAACAAGGAAGUGACGGCUAACUACGUG